Molecule: non-coding RNA, 2276 nt
Filed under: Pan troglodytes (chimpanzee)
Lineage: Eukaryota; Metazoa; Chordata; Mammalia; Primates; Hominidae
Source: RNAcentral
CCAGCCAGCACAGCCCACCUCUCCUCUCCAGGCCAGGGCCCCACACACCUCCCGCCUGACAGCCAGCCAAGCUCUUCAGUCCCCCGCCCUCCACCUGCCAGGGAGGCUCCGGGCGUUAUACCUGCCACCACGGGACACAUAUACUCAUAGAAAUGAGUUAUUUAAAGAAGACGGUCCAGAUUCCACAGUCCAAAAAAAAAAAGAGGUUUGCCCUGCUUCCGAAGGAGUCAGGAUAUGAAUGCAGAGGUCUUCCUGUUGGCUCACAUAUCAGACCUUCAACGUCAACAUUAAAUGCGAGUGAUGCUUCCCCCUCUGUGAAUGUGGCUUUGGGUAUGGCUAAUCCACACCCUGCACUCUGGCCUUCAGAAGCCCAGGGAGAGAAGCCUCCCAGAAGCAACCUUCCAGAACCUUCUCCAUCCUCCCACCGACCUCCCCAGCCCCUGUCCUCUCUUUGAAUCUCGUUGUCAAGUUCUUUCCGCAGACGCCUGGCUCCUUGAGGGGAGGUGCAGCUUUCAUCUGACCAUGCAGGCGUGCUUUGCAGUGGGUAGAGCAGUGCUGAAAGAACAUCAGUGUAUCAGCACAGCAAAUAUUCCAAAUGCCAGGCUGGAUUCCCUCCAAUUACCAGAACCUCCAGGCUUCUCCUCCUUUCAAGAACUUUCUGACCCUGGAUCCAGUCUAAAUGUUGGUUAUAAACUCACCUGACAUCCACAGGGCCCUUCCAAAGUACUGUCAAGGCUGACUGCUGGUGCCUGGAACCUGCACACCCUCCUGGGACUCUGCAUCUCUGCUGGGGCUGGUUUCUCCUCUGAGCCACCUUAAGGAAUCCCAUCCUGACCCGGUCAGAGCUCAGCAUGCCUCCCUCUCCUACUUGCUCAGCAUUUUCUGUCUAUCUAGACUGAAGCCUUUGCUUUCUCUCUGUGAUUGUGGUGAAAGUUCAGUUUGCUUUCCUCUCUCUAGAAUGUCAGCAUGAAGGCAGAGGGAUGGUCUCCUGAGUUCCAUAACCCCAAAGCCUAACUCCCUGCCUGCCACACUGAGGGGCUCAGUAGACAUUGACUUACUAAAUUGAAUAGUUGAGUAAUAAUGCUCUUUGAAAUAAUUUGGAGUUAGAUCUUGAGCCUUGUGUGGCCAGGGGAUGGGUGAGGACACAUCAUAAAAACUAAAGGUAACUGAGCAUGCCAGCAGUUGGGGUGAGAAAUUUGCAUGGAGCACUCCAGACGCAGAGGCAGUGCUGGGAAAGAACCCAAGUGCUGGGAAGUCAGAGUGAGAGAGUGAAGGGGCAGUGAGUGCUUCUUUAGGAGCUGGAUCAAAACCUAAGAUGAUCUGGCCACAUGGUGCAGACUGAGCACACACUUGGGAGAGAAAUGGGCCAGGAGGAGAGGAGAGAGGUUCACCACAGGACAGUGGAUGACUGGGAAUAGAAGCCCUCCCCAUGGUGGACCAAGAAGUCUGUGAAGCUGAGAGAAAGACAAAAGAAAUCACGACUUCUGUAGGUAGCUGGGAUGGAAACCUCAGGGGUGACAGGGUCUUUAAAGGAAAUCUCAAGGAAGGCAUCAUGUUCCGGGUGUGCUCCAGGGAUGCUGAGUAAGAAAAGACCAGCCUUUCUGUGUGUGUCUUUACUCUGCCACAAGGCACCUGGGCUCCUAAAUGACCAACACACAUGUGCUAUACUGGUGCCAAGAAAGAAGGGUGUUUUGUAGGAAAGUCAAGGUGAGAGGAGGUGCCCAGGGCUUGGCUCCUUUCUUUGAAGGGUGAUGGUGUAAAUUCUCCAUGCUGGGGAUCCUACUGAUGGAUGGAGGCAUGUCGACCUCAUCAUUUCACAGAGUGGGGAGCUAUGGCCACAACGUGCCUAUCACACAAGUCCAGCCUCACGUCAGCUGGACACCAGCUGUUCUGACACUUGUCAGCACAUGGGGCACCCGGAAGUUCACGGUGUUCUGCAAAGAACGCCACAAAACAGUGAGCUCAACUUCUUGAAAGUCAUAAUGUGUUGCUAAGUCCGAUCCCAGAUCCUAAAAAUAAUAUGAGGUAGUGGCCAUUGAACAGAAAAAAUUUACAUCUUAAACUUGAAGAUAAGUACAAGUGUACCUUUUUCUACCACUGUUGUUCAGUUUUAUUAUAUUGACAAGCACCUCUGCCCACCCUAUGGGGUAAAACUGUUUGAAAGUGUUUAUGAAAGUUUUAUAUAAAUAUUGGCUGAUCAAAUGUACAAAAUAUGCAUGAUGGCACCAUAUUGUGUAUAAUAGUGACAAAUACAGUCCAUGUGGGUGGAGAAACAA